UUUGAUCCUCAUAAACCACGUGGACCCGUAUGCACCAAAAUCACGCAAAUAAUCUCUCAAUUCUGUUCAAGCAUCUCAUGAUUAAAAAAAGUCACAGCCGUCCCACAAUAAAAAGAAUAGGUUUUUUUAAGUCUAAUAAUAAAAUGAAUAGGUGGACCCUUGAUGUCUACAAAAAAGAAUAGGUGGACACAUACCCUGCGCACCAAAAUCUUCAAACAAUCUCUCGCUCCAUGCCUUCCCUAAUCUACAUCUGUAAUCUUCCAUGAUUCAUCCAAGCCCUUUCCGAUCCAACAAAUCAUUGCCCCGUUUCUCCCCAAAAAACAAUCUUCUGUUGGCCACAUGAAGAACAACAAUUGGAGCUCUCGACGGGAUGCGAGUAUCUAUCAGGUGGAUCCUCCCACCGUAACUUCAGAAUAGCUCCGGUUGCAGAGACGCUGAUCGAGAGCCAUGAAGAAAGCUGCGGGUCUCCGUAUGAAAGAUGCACCAGAUCCCCUAAUUUGGAUGUUGAAUCUGAGUCCUCGACGUCGGAUUCAGGAUUCCCCACUCCCAGCAGCCAACGGAGAUGUUAAAUCGAGUAGCCCCAUCUCCAACAAAUCCGGAACAGAGCCAUGUUCAUGGCAGAGAAGGUACGCAUCCUGGGGACAACAAAUUUUUGUUAUUGAUUCCAUAUCUGAUGGAUUGAAAAGGACAAUUUAUUUACUCUGAACCUAGGAUUUGUCGUUAGAAAUAUGAUAUCUGUAAAGAACUAAUCAAGUGUUUGAUAGCACCAGUCUCCAAUACUAAGCGAGAGUUUUGCCUAGCGGUAACAACAUAUACAGAACAAAUGGCUUGUAGCACAAAAUUGUUAGCGACUACACCAGUGUCAAAUGCAUUGUACCUGGUCUAAUGCAUGAGCAGAAAAACAGGAAAAGGGACAAUGAAAUUUGGCAAUAAUGUCAAACGAUGAUGUAUGUUCACCUACCCAACAGUGAAAAAACUACAUAAGACUUCUAAAUCAAUGUGUGGAUUUGUGUAUGUCGAAUUUCAGAGUGUCCGUUCAUAUAUUAGGAUUGCAGAAGCGAAUCUGCAUGAUAUCUCUGAAAUAGACAAUAUGUGAAUCAAUUGUGUGCCAAAGUUCAGACACUAUAUUCAAAAAUUUGAUCUACAGCAAUGCCCAAUCCCGUAUAUGAAAAAAUAAGACUGUUAAUUUAUCCGAGUGUCAUACUUCUGAUUGUACAUUCAUAUCUUAUGUUUGCACAACAAGUCUGCAUGAUAUCUUUGAAAAGAAAUAAGAUGAGAAUUAUAGCAUGCUCUUCUACUAUAAUUUGGGGUUUGGAACGGCUUUCAUAGGUAUGAACUCUAUUAAGUAAAGGGCACUACAGUAUAGUAUCCACUUGGAGUUUAUAGAUCAGAUAAUGGUUCACAAAAUAUUUUGCUUGAAUACCUCAAUAAUUCUGUCUAAAAAUAAGAACCUGAUUAAUCAGGUACAGAUGGCUUCGGCCGGCUGCUACUAAAAGAUACUCAAUAUUUGUGACUUCACGUGAUGAUUGGAACUUAAGAUCAUCUUUAUCAUUAAAGAUUUCAG
RNAcentral lists this long non-coding RNA (1564 nucleotides) under Triticum aestivum (bread wheat). RNAcentral's name for it is "long non-coding RNA (TAES_LNC011780)". Lineage: Eukaryota; Viridiplantae; Streptophyta; Magnoliopsida; Poales; Poaceae. The record is from RNAcentral.